ACAUGCAAGUCGAACGAAGUAGCAAUACUUAGUGGCAGACGGGUGAGUAACAUGUAGGUAUCUACCCUAUGGUUUGGAAUAACACGAGGAAACUUGUGCUAAUACCAAAUAAGUCUUUACAGAGAAAGCUUUAUGCGCCAUUGGAUGAGCCUGCACUUGAUUAGUUUGUUGGUGGGGUAAUGGCCUACCAAGACAAUGAUCAAUAGCUGAUUUGAGAGGAUGAUCAGCCACAUUGGGACUGAGACACGGCCCAAACUCCUACGGGAGGCAGCAGUGGGGAAUCUUGCACAAUGGGGGAAACCCUGAUGCAGCGAUGCCGCGUGAGUGAAGAAGGCCUUUGGGUUGUAAAGCUCUUUCGUCGGGGAAGAAAAUGACUGUACCCGAAUAAGAAGGUCCGGCUAACUUCGUGCCAGCAGCCGCGGUAAUACGAAGGGACCUAGCGUAGUUCGGAAUUACUGGGCUUAAAGAGUUCGUAGGUGGUUAAAAAAGUUGGUGGUGAAAUCCCAGAGCUUAACUCUGGAACUGCCAUCAAAACUUUUUAGCUAGAGUAUGAUAGAGGAAAGUAGAAUUUCUAGUGUAGAGGUGAAAUUCGUAGAUAUUAGAAAGAAUACCAAUUGCGAAGGCAGCUUUCUGGAUCAUUACUGACACUGAGGAACGAAAGCAUGGGUAGCGAAGAGGAUUAGAUACCCUCGUAGUCCAUGCCGUAAACGAUGUGUGUUAGACGUUGGAAAUUUAUUUUCAGUGUCGCAGCGAAAGCAGUAAACACACCGCCUGGGGAGUACG
This 783-nucleotide ribosomal RNA is filed under the name uncultured Pelagibacteraceae bacterium. Its description in RNAcentral is "bacterial SSU rRNA". It matches the Rfam family "Bacterial small subunit ribosomal RNA", at positions 53 to 884 of the family's 1533-position model. The record is from RNAcentral. Lineage: Bacteria; Pseudomonadati; Pseudomonadota; Alphaproteobacteria; Candidatus Pelagibacterales; Candidatus Pelagibacteraceae.